Molecule: ribosomal RNA, 301 nt
Filed under: uncultured bacterium
Lineage: Bacteria
Description: partial 16S ribosomal RNA
Rfam family: Bacterial small subunit ribosomal RNA
Source: RNAcentral
CAGCCGCCGCUGGAAUACAGAGGGUGCAAGCGUUAAUCGGAAUUACUGGGCGUAAAGUGCGCGUAGGUGGUUUGUUAAGUUGGAUGUGAAAUCCCCGGGCUCAACCUGGGAACUGCAUCCAAAACUGGCAAGCUAGAGUAUGGUAGAGGGUGGUGGAAUUUCCUGUGUAGCGGUGAAAUGCGUAGAUAUAGGAAGGAACACCAGUGGCGAAGGCGACCACCUGGACUGAUACUGACACUGAGGUGCGAAAGCGUGGGGAGCAAACAGGAUUAGAUACCCCAGUAGUCCCUGUCUCUUAUAA